RNAcentral lists this long non-coding RNA (10330 nucleotides) under Populus tremula. RNAcentral's name for it is "long non-coding RNA (PTRE_LNC003209)". The record is from RNAcentral. Lineage: Eukaryota; Viridiplantae; Streptophyta; Magnoliopsida; Malpighiales; Salicaceae.
CAAUCUCUCAAGGAUGAUCAUGUGGUCGGUUCCCAUCAUGGUUGCCACAGAAUGUUUACGAGUGGUCACUAGAAUUCUGCUUCCUGGUGCUCCGCCUUUGAGAGAGUGUUUCAGCGGUUCCCAUUGUCCAUAAUUUUCUGUCCAGACAUCAUCUAGGACAAGAAGGAACCUCUUUCCCUUAAUGGAUUCAGAAACCCUUUGCAAAAGGGAUUGCAAUUCAACCAAAUCCGGUGCCCUCCCUUCAAGCUGCUCGAGGAUAGCUUUGCCUAUCCUAACCUCAUCAAAUGGAUCUGAAACACACACCCAUAUCUUCUCAAAAUGAGCCGUAACCUCAGCAUCAUUAAAAGCUAGUUGGGCGAGAGUUGUCUUUCCAAUCCCGCCCAUCCCUACUAUAGAGAUGACCUCUACGUCCCCUGCUUCCUGAAUACUUUCGCCCAGCAACUUGCUUACUACAGCUUCCCUUUCAUCAUCUCGACCAGUCACGAUUGAUUCAUCAACAAGGGAGGUACUUGUUAUUCGUUGGAGUUCAUCAGUGGCUCUGUACGGAUCAAAGCCAUACAUAGCUCUCGCUUUCGCAAUGUCAUCCACUUUUUCACAUACUUCUUUGAUCUUGAGGGCAAUGUCUCGACGUCGAACCACUUGAUUGAGACAAAAGCAAGGAGAUUUCAGGAAGGAACAUCGCAUCUUCUGUAGGCUGCGAGUAUUUUCUUCAGCUUCCUCCAUUUUCCAUGUAAGAAUUGCUGAGCUCCAUUCAUCUAGCACGUCAUCCAUAUCAUAACAUACAUCUUUGAGCUUGUCUACCCAAUCUCUUACAGCCUUAUCCUUCACUUGUUUUCUAUCUGCGUCUUCAAGGAUAGAUUGGAUAACAAUGAGAUUGCUUUUCAGCUUGUCGACUUCGUUUCUUCACACCCCCUACUAGGUUCACCUCUUCAUGUACCUAUUAGGGUAGAAAAGAUCAGAAAGUUCAAGCAGAGGAAACAUUUCUAUGAUUUCAAUACAAGUUUUUUUAUUUUAAUUUUUCGUAAUUAAUAGAUUAAAUAAUUUUUAUUAAUCUUUUUUUUUGCAGUAGUUGACACGUGCUGUGAAAUGGAUUGGCUAUAUUAAUAACUUAUAUAUAAAAUAUUUAUUGAAAACUUAUAUAUUAAAGAUAAUGCUUCUUUUUAUCAUCAUCAUGAUGAUAUCUCUCUGCACUCUGCUACUAUACAAGGAAGAAAAUGAAUCUUAAAUUGUUCCAAUCAAAGAAAUAUAGUGAUUAAAAGGAUCUGUAUUUGUUGGUAUUUGUAAAGUCUAUUUGGAAAUAAAUAUUCUUCCUUUAAAGUGAACUAAUUAUUUUAACAUUUGAUUGAUUAUUUUACCCUUAGCAGUUCAGUUUAAUGAGAGGAUUGACAACUCCUUUUUCCUUCUAAAGAUUAUUUCCAGAAAUAUGAAAAAUAAUAAAACAAUAAAAAUAAAUUUCCUUAAUAAAAUCCAAAUCUAGAUCUGAGUAUUUGAGAUUUUAUUUUAUUUUUAUGGUAGAGGAACAAAAAAAGACUUCAUUUUUAUAUUUCUUAUUCAUGUUAGGUUAAUUGGAUCAUUGCAAAUUGUAGAAAGGCAAUUACCUGUUGAGCAACGAUCCUCGUUAACUGCUCCAGAAUUGGCGAUAAAAGUGCCUCUGCCAUUUGUCUGUUUACUUUUAUUUUAUUUCUUAAAAAAAGAGAGACAAUGAUGAUAGGAUGAACAGAGAGGGAGAGAGAAGAGAGUAUGAGGGGAAGGAGGCUGCUGAUUUAGUUAGUUUAGAGCGGAGAAGCUAAAUGAAUAGCUAAAAAUAAAAAAUUAAUAUUUUAGUUUUUCUUUACUUGUUUUAUACACUCCAAGAAAAAAGUCAAAUAAAAUACUAAAAUACCUUUUUUCUCCCACAAAUGUUAUUCCUAUAUAUCUCUCAAAAGAGCCAAAAUUAAUCAAGUGGGGCCAACAAAAGAAUAAACCAAUUAAAUCUAGCCAUGUGAAAAAAAAAUAACAUCAAAAUCAUUAAAAAAAAUAAAACACUUCUUUAUUCUACUCUAAUAGAAUUGGCUUUUUAAAUGGCUUUUUUUCCAUUAGAAUAUACAUGAUAAAAAAAGUUAUAUUUAUACUAUUCAAAAUGCUAUUUUAUCAAUUUAUCUUUUUAAAAUAGCAUUUUACUUUGGAGAUGUUCUUAUAUGUGCUUAGGGUUUGGUGGUGAGGGUUGACUUUUGUUUCAAUGCCUGCGCUGUUUCUAACAUUUCAAUUCAGUCCCUAUAUUAUUGAACUUUUCAGUCUAGUGUCGGUCAGGGUUUUGUUAACAGGAAAAGGAUUGCAGGGAUGGCUGGUCUGAGUGAUGGAAGCUGGCUGAAGCUGGGGCUGUGUGGAUAUCAGUUAAAUUUUGAUGCAGGCUCUUGAACUAGAAACCAUGUAUUAGUUGUCUCAUAUAGGACACUUUACUAUUACAUUUUGAUGCUGGCUCUUGAACCAUUACCCUCUUCGCUCCAGUUGAGAAGAAUUUUUAAUUUAUAUUCCUGAUGAUCAUCGUUAUGCUAUGUAAUGUAGUGAUUCAAUCGCGCCAUUUCUUAUGUUUAGAAAUCUAUGUUUUGGUAACUUGUCUCUUGUUUUUUUUUUUUUCUUGUUGGGUUGCUCAGGUGCUAUCUACAUUGAUUCUGAUAUCAUAGUUUUGAAUUCAUGGUCUUCACUUAAUAACACGAUUGGUCUGGAGAAUUCUACUGAGAGAUUAUCGCAUUCUACUGAAAUUCCUGAAAUUGAUUAUAGCAUUCUACUGAAAUUCCUGCUUCUCAUCUGUUUCUCCAUUUCUUCUCUUCAUUUAAUGUUUAUCUGGUAUCAGUAGCAUGUGCUGGUCAUGGCAAAAAAGUAUGGAAGGAUUGCUGGUUUGCGUGAAUGGAGCUCCUUUAAAUGGGAGGUUCGUUUGUGAAGGGGAGCAAAUGGGUGUGAAAAGGACAAGAAAUGAGGAAAGAAUUCAUAUUGUCUGGACCACAUCACCUUCCUUUCUUCUUCUUUUUUUUGUUUUCAUUCCUUUUUUAUUGUCUCUUUCUACUUUUUCAUAAUGAAAUUCAGAUCUAAAUUACAGAGGAAAUCAGCAUGCUAGAUUCAGCAGCGUUUGGGGUCAGAAUGCCAUUGUUGGGAAGAAGACAACAAAUUAUGUGUAGCUUAGCAGCCAUUGUUGCUGCUUCAGGAACACCAAACUCCCUUGUCAAAAAACUGGAUCCAUAUGCAUUUUGCAAUUAAGUCAUUAUGCUUUAAACUCAUUCUAUGUGUCUUUCCUUACAAAAAAAAAAAAAAAAAAUGGUUAUUUGCUGUCUUCAAACCCGAGAGUUUCGUUGCGUUCUGUUUCAAUUCAGUCAGUCUUUAUUAGUCAAUGCUUCGUAGAACAGAGGCACCUCAUUGCAGAGUGCGGGUACAAAACUAGUGUUGAGGUGAGGUCAUAUGUCCUACCAAAAUGGAUUUUGAUCAUAAUAAUUAGAAGAAGAAAAAAAAACAACAUUAAUAAUUGAUCAUCGUGGCUACAAAAUGAAGUGGAACUAAUAAUUAAUGGAGUGUAUAUAAUAAUCAUAAUCAUAAUAAUACUAAAUAAAAUGAAUUACUAUGUGUAUUCUAUAAUUUAGUUAUAUAAUAUAGCAGAUCUGUACAAAUUAGUAAUUUCAACUUACCAAUAAAAAAAUUAUAGUAGAUUUUUACCGUGGUAUGAUUGCAAUAAAUAAAAUAAAAUAAAUUUACUUCACAGCAUUAAUAAUUUUUUAGUUUUUGUCAAACAAUAUCAACACACAUGUAUAUUAUGCAUUCACUCAUUUUUUUAAAAAUAAUUAUAAUAAAAUUAAUUAGUUAUUUAUUAUAAAAACUAGACCUAUAAGUUAUGUCUAAGCUGUUAAAAAUAAUAAAAAUAAAAUAAUUUAAAGAUAUAAUAUAUUUUAAAUAAAAUUAUUAGUCAAUCUAUAUCGAGUUGUUUUAUCUACUAAAUUAAAAAAUUUAAGUUUUUAUAUCACUUAGAAUACUUAUGUUGAAUUUAAUCCAUAAAAUCGAUGGGUAUCAUCUCUUACAGAUGAAUCGAUGGGUAUCAAGUUACAUGCCAUCUUGCAACUUCGAAUAACAGACCACUCGACUGGCUCCAAAAUCAAACCAUCUCCACCUCAUUCAACACGAUUUAAAAUAAUCAACACCACCUUUUUAUACAAUGUGGGAUUGAUGAGGAUAUAAAUCUACAAACUCCAUCCAAAGUCUCAAUCUUAUAGUGUUCUUAACUAGUAUAGUAACGCCUCAUUGGCAAGAACCCAAAUCACUAAUAAAAAUUACAACUUUACACCGAAUUUGAACAGAUUUCUACGAGCCGAUGUCACUAAACUCAAAUUACUCCUAAAAAUCUCAAUAUAAACCCAUUAACUACUAGACCAACACCUCAUUGGCUAGAAUCCACGUUGCUUUUCCACAACAAUCAUCAGCUUCUUCAAUUAGGAUGCUACAAGCCCUUGUCUAUAUACUAGCUUAAAUUGCGACAACCUUUGAUUCCGAGAGAAGUUUGGCCUGAUCCAACGGCAGUCAAUGCGUGCUCAAUCUGUACUAGCUUUCCGGUAGGACUGAAAGUAGUGAGAGAAAAGGAGUACUGGCGACCCAUGGUUUAAUGCUUCAACACGCAGAGAGGAAAAACUGAGAAUGCGAGCGUGUGGGAGAGAAAGAAAGGGAUAUUUACUUGGGGUCUUAACUCUGCUUUUCUUGUUGGAGAAGAAGGUGUUUUCUUACGAGGGCUUUUACAAUGGAGUAUUUUGGGCUUUUAUAACGGCAGCUUGGUUCUCUUUACAUUGAGCUCAAUGUUUUUCCCAGAAAUCUGCCCUUCAAAUCUGCAAACACAAACAAUCUUGUAAGGGUACAAGGGAAGCACUCAGAACUUGUAAGAAACUUUAAAAUGCUCAUUUAUAUCUCUCUUUGACCACUUUGCAAAAACUAAGAUUAUGCUCACUAGUCCACCAUCACUCUGAUUAUAGAAGCAAGACUCGACAAUUUAACAACUUAAAAUCACUAAGAGGAAAGAAAAGGAACCUUCAAGCACCUGCAAGUACAUUUGAUUGACACUGGGUUGAGAAACUUUCAUUCAUUUUCACUUAAACAGUAUCUCACAUAAUUUAAUCUCCUGAACUACUAACUAAAGUGUUGAGAGCCAAUUUUGACAUAGGUAAUAAGUUGCACAAGUUAGUAAGAAGUGGCUCAUUGAGCAACCAAAUUGCCAAGAUGUCUUAUUUCAAACCCAAGAACAGAGGAAUGCCUUAUUUUUAUUUUUCUAAGGAACUACAUAUUUGCCCCCCUCUUUUUUUCAGUUGAAACAGAAACAGGGUACAUGUACAACGUGUUAAAGUCAAGUCCAUAACCAGACCAAUUAAGAACAUUGACCUACAAGGAGUUCCACUGAAGUUCAGAUUAUAAGCAGGCAUGCUUCUAUCUCAAUUUACCACCCCGGGUCAAAUUUCACACUUAUCAGGACACUAUAACAACAGCAGAAACUUUACAAUUUCCCACCAAACAUAAAGAGAGCUUUGAAUCUACACACCCGCCUGCUACAAUCAUUCAUGACAGAUAUUUUAGCAAAAUUAAGGCCAGAGAAACACAAGCUAAAAAAAUGGAACUUCCUAAUUACUGAGAAGCAGGCAGAAACAAACCUGUAGACAACUCCAAUAUUGGGUGUCAGAUUCUGUAUUUUCUGAACCUGAAACAGGAAGCAAUUAAAUACCAUCAACAACCAACUCAAGUUACAUCCCAUCUUGCAAAUUAGAAUAAUAGACCAAUCAACUGGCUCCAAAAUCAAACCAUCUCCACCUCAUUCAACACGAUUUAAAAUAACCAACACUACCUUUUUAUACAAAGUGGGAUUGAUGAGGAUAUAAAUCUACACACUCCAACAUUCAAAGUCCCAAUCUUAGAGUCAUUGACUAGUAUAGUAACGCCUCAUUGGCAAGAACCCAAAUCACUAAGCUCAAAUUACUAAUAAAAAUUACAAAUUUACACCGAAUUUGAACAGAUUUCUACCAACCGAUGUCACUAAAGAAAACGCAAAAAAAAAAAACGCAAAAAAACAAAAGGGCUUCUUGAAUUUAAACCAAAGAAUAUAACAAAACCAAUAAAAAAAUAAUAAAUGUUUACUUACAGAAGAUUCAUCGACUAAAAUAGAUGGCAAUUUCUUCUCAGUUGCAACAACAACACCGCUUGCCGCUACAACACCAAAAAAAUAAUAAAAUCAAACAACAUGGUAUCUAAGCACCCAUCAACAACAGUAGUGCAUUCGAAAAUGACAAGAAAAUGAGAAAACAAGAGAGAGAGGAGCUUAAAUUGCAACAACCUUUGAUUCCGAGAGAAGUUUGGCCUGAUCCAACGGCAGUCAAUGCGUGCUCAAAUCUGUACUAGCUUUCCGGUAGGACUGAAAGUAGUGAGAGAAAAGGAGUACUGGCUAUCACCCAUGGUUUAUUGCUUAAGACGCAGAGAGGAAAAACUGAGAAUGCGAGUGUGUGGGAGAGAAAGACAGGGAUAUUUACUUGGGGUUUUAACUUUGCUUUUCUCGUUGGAGAAGAAGGUGUUUUCUUACGAGGGCUUUUACAAUGGAGUAUUAUGGGCUUUUAUGACGGCAGGUUGAUCCUCUGUACAUUGAGCUCAAUGAAGGCUCGGGACCAGUUUUGUUUUCAAGUAUUAUUAACAAAUAUUUAUUUAUUUAUUAAUAUACAUAAUUUUUAAUUUAUUUAAUAACAUUUAUAUAUAUAAUUUUUAAUUUAUUAUAUUUUUUGAACUAGAAAAAAUAAUUUUCCAGAUCGUGAUGUAUAUUUCUCACAUUGUUUAAAGAAGCUAAUUUAACAUUUUUGUUUAGUAAACUAAAUAUUCAACAACUUGGGCGACAAAUAUCUGGUUGCAGCGUGCAGAGAGUAAAAACAAAAUAACUCCCACAAAACCGUUGACCCAUUUUAGACAUGAAGCCAUAGUGUUGUUCGGGGCCCAGCACCGUAAGAGGAAGGCUCCCUCUAAAUUAUAAUUUGGCCCCCUUAAUUUUUUUUCCUUGCUCCGCCCCUGCAUGGAGGGUGGUGAGUUUUGGAUCUAUAAUUAUGCUCUCCAGCGUUUUAUUCAUUGGCUUGGACAGCCUGGCUAACAAUAAUAGCAUAACCACUGCAACAGUGGUUUACAAAUGAUACAUACCUCUUCAGCUUGCUUCCCUCAUUUAUUUGGAUUGAAUCCACUGAAACUGAGGUUUAAGAAUUUCUUGGAUUUAAUCCACUGAAACAGUUGCUUGAUCAAGAUCAUUGGCUUGUUUGAAGGCAGAUAAAGGCUUAAAAAAAAAAAAAAAGCGAAAGCAAGAAAAGGAGGAUGUGAGAAAUAAUUAUAGAUAUGAGUUCCAGUAGUUGAAACAUAUGAAUUACAUAUCAUUUUAUGUUGAGAGAGAAAGAGAGAGAGAGAGAGAGAGGAUGAGAGAGAGGUAUAUCACAGCUGCAUUUGAUAGACUAAAUGGUAAGUAGGAAAUAAAAUCGAAUUACAGUAAAAAGGUCACAUUGAAUGAAAUCCUCCAUGUAAGUAAAAAAGGUCCACAGAGUAAAUGGUAAGAAUUAACACCAAAGCAAAUAACUAACACUCAGAACCAAAUCUUUUACCGUUAAGAAUUAACACUGGUAGAAGAAUUUACCUCUUCCUGCUGGUUCUAAAGACUAAAGAAUUUACCUAUAUAGCAUCAAAAUUAAUCUUUGGGAUGUGAGAAAUCUUUUGCCAAUCUUCACCCAUCUCCUCUUUCCCGUAAUGUUUCCUUAGAUUGGGGCAUCUACAUAUAUUUAAUUCCUGUAGAGGCGCUGCCAAAACAUAGUCUGGUAGUGCUCUCAACAACGGGCACUGGUUAAUUCCCAAAUAUUGAAGUUGUGGCAUAAUGGAUAUUAUUGAAGUUGUGUUGGCAUCUUCUUCUCCCACUCUCCUUCCAAUUCCUUCCCACUCUUCUACUUCUUUGAGGAAAAAAAUGCCAAGUUUUUUUAAUUUGGGGAAAGCAGUGACCCUUGCAAUUUCUCCUUCAUUAAUACUGGCAUUCUCAUCUUUUUCUAUACCUAAAAAUCCAGCAUCCAACCUUCUCACCUUCAACGAGCUCAAUACCAGGAUUUCAAGGUUGGGCAAUCUCCCCAACGGAGGCAAGACCUCCGCGUUUUCGCCAAAAUCAAGUCUAAGCUCCUGUAAUCUGGUUAAUGUCAUCAUCCAAUUUGGCAAAUCCAACCCUCCGUACCUAGAUAUGGUUAGAUUUUCCAAGCCUGACGGAGGCCGUAAAGCUUCAAUUAAAGAGCCUUCAUUCAUUUGCAACUCUGUUUUCUCUCUGUCGAAAUCCAAUUCCAAACGAAGCAGGCUCUUCUUAUUCUUGAGUUGUGCUUCUGCAGCGUCACUCGCAUCUUCUUUACCUCCUCCUAGAUUCCGUAUACGAAGACUCCCUCCAAUGUGAUUCAAGUCUUUUAAUUCUCUUAGAUUAGCUGCUUUACUUUCAUUCUCACCACCACCACACACAGUAAACACAUCUAAUGUUCGAAGACAUGUUAUCCUCUCUAUUCCCUUUGGUAUGAAGGCCACACCUGAACGAUAAAUCCGGAGAUGCCUCAAUUUGAUAAGUUUUCCAAUCGCCUUGGGCAAUUCCUUGAGAGACCGACACCAAGUAACAUCUAGGGAUUGCAGAUUGCAUAAAUCACACGUGGUUUCUGGCAGGGACUCCAACUUUCCACACCAUGCCAAAUUGAGGUGUCUCAAAUGUAUCAAUUUCCCUACCUCGUUUGGUAUUUCUUUGAUAGAAGACUCUGACAAAUUCAAUGACCUGAUGCAUGUCAACUGCUUGAAUAAAUCAGGUAGUGCAGCUCCAAGCGAAGGGUCUCUAGUGUGGAUCAAGAGGCUGCGAAGACCUUUUGCUUUGUGAAUGGACACGGGAAAAGAGGUCUCGUUGGCCAACAUCAUGCUUAAAUGACGAACCCUUUCAAUUGAAGUCUCCACUGUUGCUUCUCCAAGGUAUUGACAUCCACUGUUAGACAUUCAUUUUUUGUCAUAUAUUGGGCAAAAUCAUGCACUAUAUCAUGCAUCUUGAAUCUGAUAAUUUCUAGACCAUACUUCUUACAAUCUUGGAAGAAAGAGCGUGCUACCAAGACUUGAAAGCACUCCUCUCCAACAAGCUCCAUAUCUCCACCUGAAGUCUCCUUGAGGUAACCUUGAGCCAUCCACAUCUUCACCAAUUCAUAUUUUCUCAUCUCGUAGUCUUUUGGAAACAUGGCACAAUACAAGAAACAUCGUCUUACCACAGAAGGUAAAUCGUAGUAACUCAAAAGCAAAGGUGGAAAUAGUCCUCUUUCAACAUGUUCUAGCUCCCACAGUUCGCUAGAUAAAACAUGUUCCCACUCUUCUCUUGUUCUUUUAGACUGCAUUAGACCUCCUAAUACCUUGGCAGCUAGAGGCAAGCCCUUGCAAUUGCUUGCAAUUUUGCCGCCUAUUUCUGUCAAUCUUUCGCGCUCAUCUUUGCUUCUUUUAUGGAAUGCCAACUGAUUGAAUAUUGACAUGCAUACCUCAUCAGACAAUUUCUCAAGGUUGAUCACGUGGUCGGUUCCCAUCAUGGUUGCCACGGAAUGUUUACGAGAGGUCACUAGAAUUCUGCUUCCUGGUGCACCGCCUUUGAGAGAGAGUUUCAGUGGUUCCCAUUGUCCAUGACUUUCUGUCCAGACAUCAUCAAGGACAAGAAGGAACCUCUUUCCCUUAAUGGAUUCAGAAACCCUUUGCAAAAGGGAUUGCAACUCAACCAAAUCCGGUGCACCCGCUUUAAGCUGCUCAAGGAUAGCUUUGGCUAUCCUAACCUCAUCAAAUGGAUCUGAAACACACACCCAUAUCUUUUUCUCAAAAUGAGCCGUAACCUCAGCAUCAUUAAAAGCUAGUUGGGCGAGAGUUGUCUUUCCAAUCCCACCCAACCCUACUAGAGAGAUGACAUCCACGUCCCCUGCUUCCUGACUACUUUCACCCACCAACUUGCUUACAACAGUUUUCUUUUCAAAAUCUCGACCAAUCACGCUUGAUUCAUCAACAAAGGAGGUACUUGUUAGUCGUUGUAGUUCAUCGGUGGCUCUAUACGGAUCAAAGCCAUACGUAGCUCUCUCUUUGGCAAUGUCAUCCACUUUUUCGCAUACUUCUUUGAUCUUAAGGGCAAUGGCGCGACGUCGAACCACUUGAUUGAGACAAGAGCAAGGAGAUUUCAGGAAGGAACAUCGCAUCUUCUGUCGGCUGCGAGUAUUUUCUUCAGCUUCCUCCAUUUUCCGUCUAAGAAUUGCAGUGCUCCAUUCAUCUAGCACGUCAUCCAUAUUAUAAC